This 254-nucleotide ribosomal RNA is filed under the name uncultured bacterium. RNAcentral describes it as "partial 16S ribosomal RNA". It matches the Rfam family "Bacterial small subunit ribosomal RNA", at positions 524 to 776 of the family's 1533-position model. The record is from RNAcentral.
CACGUAGGGGGCGAGCGUUGUCCGGGUUUAUUGGGCGUAAAGAGCUCGUAGGCGGCUCAGUAAGUCGGGUGUGAAAACUCUGGGCUCAACCCAGAGACGCCACCCGAUACUGCUGUGGCUUGAGUCCGGUAGGGGAGCAUGGAAUUCCUGGUGUAGCGGUGAAAUGCGCAGAUAUCAGGAGGAACACCAGUGGCGAAGGCGGUGCUCUGGGCCGGAACUGACGCUGAGGAGCGAAAGCGUGGGUAGCAAACAGG